UACGUAGGUGGCAAGCGUUGUUCGGAAUUACUGGGCGUAAAGGGCGCGUAGGCGGUUUGCUAAGUCAGUUGUGAAAGCCCGGGGCUCAACCCCGGAAAGUCGACUGAUACUGGCGAACUAGAGUACGGAAGAGGUAGCUGGAAUUCCUGGUGUAGCGGUGAAAUGCGUAGAUAUCAGGAGGAACACCUGAGGCGAAGGCGGGCUACUGGGCCGAUACUGACGCUGAUGCGCGAAAGCCAGGGGAGCGAACGGG
RNAcentral lists this ribosomal RNA (253 nucleotides) under uncultured Acidobacteriota bacterium. RNAcentral's name for it is "uncultured Acidobacteria bacterium partial 16S ribosomal RNA". It matches the Rfam family "Bacterial small subunit ribosomal RNA", at positions 524 to 776 of the family's 1533-position model. Lineage: Bacteria; Pseudomonadati; Acidobacteriota. The record is from RNAcentral.